GGCCCGUUCGUCUAGGGGUUAGGACAUCACUCUUUCACAGUGGAGACACGGGUUCAAUUCCCGUACGGGCUA
Molecule: transfer RNA, 72 nt
Filed under: Saprospiraceae bacterium
Lineage: Bacteria; Pseudomonadati; Bacteroidota; Saprospiria; Saprospirales; Saprospiraceae
Description: tRNA-Glu
Rfam family: tRNA
About the family: Transfer RNA (tRNA) molecules are approximately 80 nucleotides in length.
Source: RNAcentral